GACUGUCGCUGGCCUUUCUCGAGGCAUGUGCACGCCCUCUAGUGGACUUUCGCCGUAUGGGCGCGGGGCGACCCCCGUCUUCAUAUACCUCUUCGUGUAGAAAGUCUUUGAAUGUUUUUACAAUCAUCGAGUCGUGACUUCUAGGAGACGCGAUUCUUUGAGACAAAAGUUAUCACAACUUUCAGCAAUGGAUCUCUUGGCUCUCGCAUCGAUGAAGAACGCAGCGAAUCGCGAUAUGUAAUGUGAAUUGCAGAUCUACAGUGAAUCAUCGAAUCUUUGAACGCACCUUGCGCUCCUCGGUGUUCCGAGGAGCAUGCCUGUUUGAGCGUCAGUAAAUUCUCAACCCCUCUCGAUUUGCUUCGAGUGGGGCUUGGAUAGUGGGGGCUGCCGGAGACCCGGAAUUCAUUCCGGGACUCGGGCUCCUCUGAAAUGCAUCGGCUUGCGGUCGACUUUCGACUUUGCGCGACAAAGCUUUCGGCGUGAUAAUGAUCGCCGUUCGCUGAAGCGCAUGAAUGAAUGGUCCCGUGCCUCUAAUCAGUCGACGCCUUCUGGGCGUCUUCCUUAUAGACGUUUGACCUCAAAUCAGGUAGGACUACCCGCUGAACUUAAGCAUAUCAAUAAGCGGAGGAAAAGAAACUAACAAGGAUUCCCCUAGUAACUUGCGAGUGAACCGGGAAAAGCUCA
Molecule: ribosomal RNA, 684 nt
Filed under: uncultured Suillus
Lineage: Eukaryota; Fungi; Basidiomycota; Agaricomycetes; Boletales; Suillaceae
Description: eukaryotic LSU rRNA
Rfam family: 5.8S ribosomal RNA (bases 177-331)
Source: RNAcentral